This 1689-nucleotide long non-coding RNA is filed under the name Homo sapiens (human). Its description in RNAcentral is "non-protein coding lnc-BUB3-4:3". Lineage: Eukaryota; Metazoa; Chordata; Mammalia; Primates; Hominidae. The record is from RNAcentral.
CUAACCUUCUUUCCCCACUUACACAGCCAUUGUCACCAUCGCACCACUACUAUCAUCAUCACCACCACCAUCAUCACACCACCACCACCACCAUCAUCACUAUCAUCAUCACACCACCACCACCACCAUCAUCACUAUCAUCAUCACACCAUCACCACCACCAUCAUCACACCACCACCACCACCAUCAUCACUAUCAUCAUCAUCACCACACCACCACCAUCACCACCACCACCAUCACACCACCACCACCACUGUCGUCAUCACUAUCAUCAUCAUCACACCACCACCACCAUCAUCACACCACCACCACCACCACCGUCGUCAUCACUAUCAUCAUCAUCAUCACACCGCCACCAUCACCACCACCACCAUCACACCACCACCACCACCACCACCGUCACCAUCACUAUCAUCAUCAUCACACCACCACCACCACCACCAUCAUCACUAUCAUCAUCAUCAUCACCACACCACCACCAUCACCACCACCACCAUCACACCACCACCACCACUGUCACCACCACCACCACCACCAUCACACCACCACCACCGCCACCGUCGUCAUCACUAUCAUCAUCAUCAUCACACCACCACCAUCACCACCACCAUCACACCACCACCACCACUACUGUCAUCACUAUCAUCAUCAUCACACCACCACCAUCACCAUCAUCACACCACCACCACCAUCACCAUCACCAUCAUCACACCACCACCACCAUCACACCACCACCACCAUCAUUAUCAUCACCAUCAUCACACCACCACCACCACCAUCACCAUCACCAUCAUCACACCACCACCACCAUUACCAUCACCAUCAUCACACCACCACCACCACCAUUACCAUCACCAUCAUCACACCACCACCAUUACCAUCACCAUCAUCACACCACCACCACCACCAUUACCAUCACCAUCAUCACACUACCACCACCAUUACCAUCACCAUCAUCACACUACCACCAUCAUUACCAUCACCAUCAUCACACCACCACCACCAACAUUACCAUCACCAUCAUCACGCCACCACCACCACCAUUACCAUCACCACCAUCACACCACCACCACCACCAUCACCAUCAUCACACCACCACCACCACCAUCACCAUCAUCACACCACCACCACCACCAUUACCAUCACCAUCAUUACACCACCCCCACCAUUACCAUCACCAUCAUCACACCACCACCACCACCAUUACCAUCACCAUCAUCACACCCCCACCAUCAUUACCAUCACCAUCAUUACACCACCACCAUCAGUACACCACCACCACCAUUACCAUCACCAUCAUCACAUCACCACCACCAUCACACCAUCACUAUAAUUACCACCACCAUUAUCACAUCACCACCAUUAUCAUCACCAUCAUCAACAUCAUACCACCACCAUCAUCAUCACAUCCUCUUCCUUGAUGUCUUAUCUCCAUGGCGUGUACACUGGAUGUAGAAUAUAGUCUUGCUGGGUACUACGGGAGCUGUAUCUCAGUAGAAGGAAUGAAGACUAGCUCUUGAUAAGCUGAAAAUCCCUUAAUAGCCUACAUUCUAAAUACGCAUAUUCAUUGUACCAGGGGUUUCUAACCUUGCUUUGAUGAUAUCCUAGUGUCACUGUCUCAAAACCAAAUUAAUUUUGGACUUGAGUAUUUAGCGUUGGGAGAAGGAGUAGGAUUGUAUAUUAUUAUAA